AACCAUUGAUUUACUUCCAUCCAAGGGACAAUACUCACUCUCCACUAUCAUAUAAAAACCAAAUUAACACCCAAAAACCCUAAGCUAAUUCCCCCACUUCAGACACAAAAAAGGAACGGGCAGCCACAUAAACACACAAAUAGUAGAGAGGAACGAGAAGAAGAGGAUUGUUUUUGGACAGAAAUUUUGAGGGAAAAGUUUGAGAGAAGAAAGGUCCUUCUGAUUCUUCCAUCUUCAAUUUUUUUUUAUUUUUAUUUUAAAUCCAAAACACACACACACACACAAAAAGAAGAUUUAUGUUCGGAUUUUGGUUUUUAAUAUGGGGUUUAGUUGAGUCGAGGUGUCGAUUCGAUCGUGACUGGUUGAGGUCCGUUCGUGGUUCGGUUCAUGGUUCUGUUCAAAUUUGACUACCAUUCGAAUUCCUGUACUCCGUUGUUGAUUCGAUUUUCGUUCCUGAAUUCGAUUGUAGUCGCACCAUUGAACUGAAUACACUGAAAAAAGCUUCAUCUCAGGUUCAUCCCUUUUCUCUUUUACUACCUCACGUUGGUGUUGAUUUGAAUAUGAUAAGGGUCGUGGUUAAUUUGCUUGGUCUUUAAUAUUCCGAUGAAUAAUUGUCACUCGGAUCUGUUUGGAUUUAAGUCAAAAGGAUUAGAGUUUGGUCGAUUUCAUACUUGAUAGUUAAGCUUAAGUGACUGAUUCUUUGCUUGCAAUUCCUAGAGUUUUGUUCGUUUUCCUGAAGUUGAGCAUCUGCUCGUUUACUUUCAACUAAGUUGGAUAGAUUAGGUGGCCUUAUUGAUAUCAUUAAACUACUGAACCUAUUUUGAGAUAUGAAAAUUGAAAUAUUGAUAUGUUAGAAUGCUCUCAAAAUUCAUCAAGCUGAAGCAUGGGUGCUCGUGGCAUUUUUCUAGCAAAUUGUCUUAUUUUUCCUUAUUUGCCUUUUUUUUGGUUUAAAUGAGAAAUUUUGGAGUUUCCUUUGAAAAUAUUGAUCUUUGCCUAUUGUGCAUGAAGUGAGCAUGUAGAGUCUUUCCAGUAUACUAGUCGGAUCAUUAUUAGUUUAAGUCUGCUCAGUCUAUGUUUCUUGCGUCGAGUGAAAAGGAAAGGUCUAGCUAGCAAUUGUGUGCAAUUUCAGCCGCCUUCUCAUGCAUGCUAAGUUCUUAGUUGCUUAUAACAUGUCAUCAUUCAUGAUUAAAACCAACAAACUAGUUUUUCUGUGAUGUGAAGGCCAUUGGGAAUGUUUAAGUGGCUUAGGAGUUAUUCGUGGAGUCUGAACUCACCAUAUCUACAUGUAUGAUUAAUUUGUUAUUCCUCGAUGCAAAUUUGUUGUUGUGUAGUAGGUUGAGUUGAAAGCAUGGCAUCUCGUUUCUGAUCUUCAUCGUGUAACUCCUGAGAGUUUGUUUUUAGUUCUGUUGUUUGGUUGUUUCCUCCUAAUCAUCAUGUUUGGAAUUGUUUCUUCAUGGAAAAAGUUUUCUGAAUACAUCUUUGAUAUGAUACAAUUUUCGUUCCCAUAGGAACAUUGGCGUGAGACAUUGGAUUUUUGAGCAUGCAAGGUUGCUUUGUUAGUUGAGUAGGUGCAAAUGUAUCAUUGAUUUAUGGGAUUGUGGUCUUAUUUAUGGGAUGAUUAGUGGGAAGUCACGGCUCUUAUCAUAUUUGGAUCCACCAUUUGUCUCUUUUAUUAUUAUUAUUUGUGUUCUUCUUUAGUUUAUAUAUUCUAGAUGCCUAUUUUGAUUUGGUUUGAUAGUAUUUGUUUGGAUGAUUGCUGAACUGUGGGAAUGGGGAAUGACCAAAGCCCAUUAGUGAUUAAUUUGUUCACGUCCUUUGGGAAUUGGGCUUGGUCUAAUGCAUGAAAUAAGAAGUUUAAAAAGGAAUGGGCAUGAAAUCUCUUUUAGUAAAAGUACUCCAUAAUCACGGGCAUUUUCACAUACAAUCACCGAAUUAGGGAUUACACAACUUAUAAAAACUCAUAGCUUGCUUUAGGCGCGAUUAACAAAUCAUGGUGACUAUGGGUAUGGUUCCCGUGGCAUGGUCAUGAUACGUAAACCCCGAUUCGCGUGUGCGUUUCACGUGACUCGAUCAUAACUUAAAACAAUAAUAAAAUAAAUAUGUUGUAAAUUGUGGGUACGUUUCACGUAGCGCGAUUCGAAAUGUGUACAAAAAUAAGCGAGUGCGCGACAUCGCGACUUGUUCAAACAAAUUCCAUAAAUAUUAAAAGCGGUUAAAAAGUUAAAAAUGCACAAUAGGUUUUAAACAUGUAUUAAAUCAGAUAAUUAGGCCAAGUAUUAAUAGUUGAGCGACCGUGCUAAAACCACGGAACUCGGGAGUGCCUCACGCCUUCUCCCGGGUUAACAAAAUUCCUUACCCGGUCUUCUGGUUUUCGCAGACUUUAAAACAGAGUCAAAUUUCCUCGAUUUGAGAUUUAAAAUAAACCGGUGACUUGAGACACCAUAAAUUAUUUCAAGUGGCGACUCUGAUUAAAUAAAUAAUCUCAUUUCGAUUAAUGUCAUUUUAAUUGGAAAAACUCCUUAUCCCCUCGGAAAAGGGAGGUGUGACAAGGGGUUGUUGUGUAAUAAGCGCAUAAUGUCCACUGGAACGCCCAUGGAUUUUAUCAUCAACUUGAUGAAUUAGUUUCAAGAUAUAAGGUUUUCCUAUUAUAACGGGUUGUUCAAAAGGAUUCCCCGUUUCCAUCAAAUAUUGUGCUUUUUCUUGGAUAUUCGGGCUCCAAUAACACAAUUCCGGGAGAAGUCGGUAGUUGGGCACUGGAUCCUUCGGACCUCGAGAAUGUUGAUCAAUUAUGGACAUGUUUAAUUUUGUAUCACCUAUCUUGGGGAGAUGUCAACAUUUACACCCAUAUAAUAAUACUGGUAUUGCAACUAAGAUUUCCCCCUUAUUAAUGACAAGGAAAAAAUGUAGAAAGAUUAGACAGUACUGUUCCUGUUAUUGCCCCAGAAGUUUCGCAAUCCAGCUAAUUCUGAACACGCUAGCCUUCUGUUUAUAUUACUAAGUCCAUGACCUCUAUAAAUAUAUUGCACCGUCUUUGGCUCCGCUUCAACAUAAAAAGACGUCUUUACUUAGAGCCAUGAGAAGGAGAGUUUCUGAUAUUUUAGUAUCCAAUUGGAACUUUGUGUGGGCAAUAAAUAUCACCAUUUUCAAGUUGUUACAAUUGCUAGGCUACUUCAAUACAAUAUUAAAAGGGAGUUUAUUCCCUUCACUCUUCUUCUCAGCAACUUUUAGUUUGUUGCUGCUGUUUCUUGCACUUGUUUUUGACAUCGUUCGAAGCAGUUCAGAUUCAAAUGUUAUUAUUCACUUGAAGACCUGCAAAGGUUAGGACGUGGCAUAUGUUCGCAUGCUUACCCAAAUUGCUAUAUCGUUUAUGAUUGAAAAAAUAUAAACCCGAUAUUAAUAAUUAUAUAUAUAUUCUCCACUUUUUAUGGUUAAGAGUGUUGUUGUGAAUGUACUUAUGUAUCAUUUUAAUUUAUAUGUUCCCAGCAUACAUAAAUGUCUCUGUUUCUUGCAUCGCCAGUUUUUUUGUCAUUUUAUUUUUAUCCUUUUGACCCUGUAAGUUGUUAAAAUGUAGUAGGAGUAAAAUAUAAACCGACAUUAUUUUUCAACCGUGCGUUCCCUUUAGCUUUGUAUAUUCGCUCUUCACUCGAUUUCAACCAAUCCCUUUAGCUUCCAGUGUUGUGGAUACUAGAUAAUUUUUUGUUCUUGGUUCUUCUUUAACUUAGUGAUAUAAAACUUAUGUACAUCAACAUGUGUAAAAGAUUUUUCAUAUUAUUAUGUUAUUUGUGUUAGGUGUUUGCCUUAAUUUUUUUACCAUAUUUUAUUUUCCUAUCUCUUGAAGAAAAUGACAACAUAUUUAUCAUAAUUGGAUUUUCCUUCUUGUAGCUAAAUCUUCCAUAUUUGGCUAAUCUUUUUUCUUGUAGGAAAAUAUAUGGACUUCUAUAAAUUGAGGAUCUUUCUUUCUUACUCAGCAGCAUCCACGAUGUAGCUAUAUAGGGUUUGUUAGUGUAUCACUUGUGUUUGACUAUUCGUGAGGUUGUUCUCUCGAUAUUUUGUACUCUCUUUUAUAUAGUGGAUUGCUUAUCUCCAUCUGUGGACGUAUGUCAAAUUGACGGAACUACAUUAAAUGUUUGUGUUUUUUUUUGGUAUAUUUCUUUUU
RNAcentral lists this long non-coding RNA (4156 nucleotides) under Nicotiana tabacum (common tobacco). RNAcentral describes it as "long non-coding RNA (NTAB_LNC005560)". The record is from RNAcentral. Lineage: Eukaryota; Viridiplantae; Streptophyta; Magnoliopsida; Solanales; Solanaceae.